RNAcentral lists this ribosomal RNA (432 nucleotides) under uncultured bacterium. Its description in RNAcentral is "partial 16S ribosomal RNA". It matches the Rfam family "Bacterial small subunit ribosomal RNA", at positions 29 to 507 of the family's 1533-position model. The record is from RNAcentral.
AACGAACGCUGGCGGCAGGCCUAACACAUGCAAGUCGAGCGAGGACUUCGGUUCUAGCGGCGGACGGGUGAGUAACGCGUGGGAAUGUGCCCUUCUCUACGGAAUAUCCCUGGGAAACUGGGAGUAAUACCGUAUACGCCCUAUUGGGGAAAGAUUUAUCGGAGAAGGAUCAGCCCGCGUUGGAUUAGGUAGUUGGUGGGGUAAUGGCCUACCAAGCCGACGAUCCAUAGCUGGUUUGAGAGGAUGAUCAGCCACACUGGGACUGAGACACGGCCCAGACUCCUGCGGGAGGCAGCAGUGGGGAAUCUUAGACAAUGGGGCAACCCUGAUCUAGCCAUGCCGCGUGAGUGAUGAAGGCCUUAGGGUUGUAAAGCUCUUUCAGCUGGGAAGAUAAUGACGGUACCAGCAGAAGAAGCCCCGGCUAACUCCGUG